GACGAACGCUGGCGGCAUGCCUAAUACAUGCAAGUCGAGCGGAGUUGAUAGAAAGCUUGCUUUCUUGAUACUUAGCGGCGGACGGGUGAGUAACACGUAGGCAACCUGCCCUCAAGCUUGGGACAACUACCGGAAACGGUAGCUAAUACCGAAUACUUGUUUUCUUUGCCUGAAGGAAACUGGAAAGACGGAGCAAUCUGUCACUUGGGGAUGGGCCUGCGGCGCAUUAGCUAGUUGGUGAGGUAACGGCUCACCAAGGCGACGAUGCGUAGCCGACCUGAGAGGGUGAUCGGCCACACUGGGACUGAGACACGGCCCAGACUCCUACGGGAGUCAGCAGUAGGGAAUCUUCCGCAAUGGGUGAAAGCCUGACGGAGCAAUGCCGCGUGAGUGAUGAAGGUUUUCGGAUCGUAAAGCUCUGUUGCCAGGGAAGAACGCUUGGGAGAGUAACUGCUCCCAAGGUGACGGUACCUGAGAAGAAAGCCCCGGCUAACUACGUGCCAGCCGCCGCAGUAA
This 516-nucleotide ribosomal RNA is filed under the name uncultured bacterium. RNAcentral's name for it is "partial 16S ribosomal RNA". It matches the Rfam family "Bacterial small subunit ribosomal RNA", at positions 28 to 523 of the family's 1533-position model. The record is from RNAcentral.